Molecule: RNA transcript, 2306 nt
Organism: Formica exsecta
Lineage: Eukaryota; Metazoa; Arthropoda; Insecta; Hymenoptera; Formicidae
Gene: abo
Gene name: DET1 homolog
Exons: 8
Source: RefSeq, a predicted model, not a curated record
GUUAUAACCUAUGCGCGUUCAAACUUUAAAAGAAAUAGAAUAUAAUAAAAUCUAUAAAUAUACUGUAUAACUUAAUAGAAUUUGGAGCAUUUUGCCAUCAAAAGGGGAAAAAAACAAAAUAAAAGAAGAUUUUUAUACAUGGCGAGAAGACUGGCAAAGGACAUCGCGAUGAGAUAACGUUCGCCCCCGUAUUAACCAAGGUGAUAUGCAUGGGAUAAAAAUAGUGCGGCAAUAACAAAAUUUUACAUGACGACAAUGGGUGCCGUUUUCGUGCGUUAUCACGCAAUAAAUUUAUAGCGGGAUGGCGAAGAUGAAGGAAAACAGGGUUAGCUUCGUGACAGAUCCUUGUCCCAUCAAACCUCGUAAGAUUGGCCCGCAAAAUGUGGUGGUUCGCCUAAGACAGAGGGAAACGAUGGGCUGCCCUUUCCCAGGCACGCACGUACAUAGCGCGAGGCAAUUUUAUCAAAAUGUUUUUCCCAACUUUACCGUGAUGAACGUGGAGAAACCGCCGUGUUUCCUCCGUAAGUUCAGCCCGGAUGGAAAGUACUUAGUGGCAUUUAGCGCGGAUCAAACGUCUAUCGAGGUAUACCAAUAUUGCGGGGCUUCGGCGGCCGCGGACUUGUUGGCCGAUUGCGAAGGCGAAUAUAUCGGCAACAAGAACGACGACUGUAGCUUUCACAUAAGAAGUAAUAUCUUCGCGCGAUUUUUCAAGGUAAAAUGGAUUAUAAAUGUAGUACAAAGCAACGAGCAAUUGAACAGAGAAUGCAGUCUUUUCACAGACGACGCGCGGUAUGUAAUUGUGGGUUCAGCUGCUCAUAUUCCUGAAGAAUUGAGACCACACUUUUAUCAGAUUUAUUCCAAUAAUGAGGCAUUGACUCCGAAUCCUCGAUCUCCGCUUGAAGAUUAUAGCUUGCAUCUUGUCGAUUUACGUGGUGGAAAGUUAUGUGACACUAGACAUUUUAAAGUUGACAAAAUUUAUUUAUCGCAUAAUCAAGGUCUUUAUUUAUACAAAGAUAUAUUAGCAGUCUUAUCGGUACAGCAUCAAACUAUACAUAUCUUUCAAAUUUUGGAUGGCAUGUUUAUAAAUGUCAGGACAAUAGGAAGGUUUUGUAUGGAAGAUGAUGCAUAUUUAGUUACGAGCGCUUUUCCUGGAAUCAAUUGCAGACCAUUUAAAGACAUUGCAAUAAAUAGUCUUAAGCAUAGGUUAUUAGUAUAUUUGUACAAACGAGCGAAAUAUAUAAGCAAUGCAACAAAGGAUCCAUAUGAAUUGAGAAGAUUUUAUCAAUAUUUUGACCAGCUAAAUUCACUACGUAUGUGGAAAAUGCAGUUGUUGGAUACAAAUCACAUCUUGGUGAGAUACGCGAGCGAAGAGGUAGCGACCUUGCAAGCAAACGAACCAAAUGCACAGCCUGCACUGUUGGUAGUUUACGAUAUGGUUACGGCAAAGAUUUUGGCGGCGUAUGACAAUGCAUCAACUCAACUAUUAACACUAUUUGAAAACUUCAGCGAUUUUUUUAGAAAUGCCAGAAUGAGCACGGAUUGUCAAUAUAUGUGUUCACCAUCUAAUAAUAUAUAUGCCAGAUUGUUACAGCAAAGAUUCAAACAAACGAUAAUAAGCGCUAGAUACGGUGGCAUUACCGAAGCCACGAAAAGAUUACUCGCUCAAUUACCGAUAUGCGCUCAGUCCUAUUCCAGUUCUCCAUACCUCGACUUAUCAUUGUUUUGCUACGACGAUAAAUGGGUAUCUAUGAUGGAACGCCCUAAAGCAUGCGGGGAACAUCCGAUACGUUUCUAUGCACGCGACUCGGGCCUCUUAAAAUUUAGAAUGUAUGCCGGUAUGUUGGGACGAACAACACCAACGACCGCAAGACGAUUGGUCGCAUUCACGUUCCAUCCGACAGAUCCGUUCGCAAUUUCGGUCCAACGUACUAAUGCAGAAUAUAUCGUCAGUUUUCAUGUCAGGCACGUUUGAAGCAUUUCUUUUCUUUGACAUGUGUACAUCUUGAUGUAAUGUCAAUGGAAUUUCUCAUUAAAAUUUGAGAGAAAAAGAGAAAGGAAGAGAUUGCUAUUGCUAAAGUACAAAACGGAUCUUAUAUUUCAAGUAAAAAUAUGAUCACAAAGUGAUAGGAAAGCUACAUCGGAUUCAAAGACUUUGUUAUUUACUGCUAGCAAAUAGCCUGGAGCAUACUCACCUACGCGGAAAAUUUCUCAGAAACGACAACAGAAUUCUUUCACGCCCACGAAAAUCCGAAGUCCUUUCCACCGGAUCUUCCCUUUUUCCAAACCCAAUCGCUGUGGAAAUGUAC